GACAGAGGUGCCAAGCGUUAGGCGGAAUCACUGGGCUUAAAGCGUGUGUAGGCGGCAUGGUAAGUCCCUUGUGAAAUCCCACGGCUCAACCGUGGAACUGCUUGGUAUACUGCUUUUCUUGAGCCACUUAGGGGCAACCGGAACAAACGGUGGAGCGGUGAAAUGCGUAGAUAUCGGUUGGAACGCCAAUGGUGAAAACAGGUUGCUGGGAGUGUGCUGACGCUGAGACACGAAAGCCAGGGGAGCAAACGGG
RNAcentral lists this ribosomal RNA (253 nucleotides) under uncultured bacterium. Its description in RNAcentral is "partial 16S ribosomal RNA". It matches the Rfam family "Bacterial small subunit ribosomal RNA", at positions 524 to 776 of the family's 1533-position model. The record is from RNAcentral.